AAAACUAUUUCUCCACGUCAUUUCAACGUGUGAGAUUAUGAUCUUUGCUUCAUUCUCCAAGUCAUUGACUCCUUAUUUUUAGAUAAAGAUUAUUUCUCCAAUGGCAAAGAAAAAAACAAUCAUUUGGAAGACACAUAAACCUCGUUGGUAAAUUAGUUUGCUCGUUUUCCAAUGCAGAAUAUUUAGAUUGAAACCCCAACAAAACAGAUACAUCCAAGUAGUUAAUUAGGUGUAGCCAUUAAGAAUGUUUCUGAAUAAGAGAGACGUAUUUCCUGUUGAACGAUAUGAAUAAGUUGAGUUGAGCCUUAUGAUCUUGAUCAGCAGCAGCAGCACUUGUAUUAUUUUUCCCAAAGAUUAUGAGAACCAGUUCAGGUGUGUUCAACUUUGGUCCAUUCAUGAGACCACCCCUUUCCACUUGAAGUUAUCAUAAGCUACAGGUCAAGCAAAGCCUAAAAUGUUGGCUGAUCCGACCGAAAGCCAAGAAAAAUGGGGAUCAAAUUGCUGUUAUCAUUGUCGCCAUAGUUGGAACAUCCUUUAUUCUGCGUUUCAAAUACUUAAAAAACCGAAGGACUGUUUGGUGAUGAUAAUCCAAAUCACAAACUAUUGUUGGAUACUCAGAAGCAAAUUGAAUGUCAAAAUCAGGUUUUAAAAACGGGUCGGCUAAAGAAAGGUUUCCACACCUUUAUAAAACAUUAUUCUCCCCAACAUUAAUGUGGGAUCUCAUAAU
Cucurbita maxima (winter squash) is the source of this 727-nucleotide long non-coding RNA. RefSeq lists it as uncharacterized. NCBI's taxonomy places the organism in Eukaryota, Viridiplantae, Streptophyta, Magnoliopsida, Cucurbitales, Cucurbitaceae. The transcript is spliced from 4 exons. The record is from RefSeq and is a predicted model, not a curated record.